GAUGAAGAACGCAGCGAAAUGCGAUACUUGGCGUGAAUUGCAGAAUCCCGUGAACCAUCGAGUCUUUGAACGCAAGUUGCGCCCGAAGCCACUAGGCCGAGGGCACGCCUGCCUGGGCGUCACACGCCGUUGCCCCCCCAUCUACUCCUUCGGGAUUGCGGGGGGGCGGAUGAUGGCCUCCCGUGCGCCUAGCCGCGCGGUUGGCAUAAAUACCAAGUCCUCGGCGACGCACGCCACGACAAUCGGUGGUUGCGAAACCUCGGUUGCCCGUCGUGUGCGUUCGUCGCGCAUCGAGGGCUCGAAAAAAUGCUCGGCUCCGGCUGGGCUUUCAACGCGACCCCAGGUCAGGCGGGGUUACCCGCUGAAUUUAAGCAUAUCAAUAACGGAGGA
RNAcentral lists this unclassified non-coding RNA (390 nucleotides) under soil metagenome. RNAcentral describes it as "partial contains 5.8S ribosomal RNA, internal transcribed spacer 2, and large subunit ribosomal RNA". The stretch from base 1 to 122 matches the Rfam family "5.8S ribosomal RNA", at positions 35 to 154 of the family's 154-position model. The record is from RNAcentral.